GCCCUUGUAGCUCAGUGGUUAAGAGCAUUGGCCUGUGUAUUAGGGGGCAUGGGUUCAAUUCCAAUCAAGUGCA
RNAcentral lists this transfer RNA (73 nucleotides) under Myotis davidii. It matches the Rfam family "tRNA". Rfam says of the family: Transfer RNA (tRNA) molecules are approximately 80 nucleotides in length. Their secondary structure includes four short double-helical elements and three loops (D, anti-codon, and T loops). Further hydrogen bonds mediate the characteristic L-shaped molecular structure. tRNAs have two regions of fundamental functional importance: the anti-codon, which is responsible for specific mRNA codon recognition, and the 3' end, to which the tRNAs corresponding amino acid is attached (by aminoacyl-tRNA synthetases). tRNAs cope with the degeneracy of the genetic code in two manners: having more than one tRNA (with a specific anti-codon) for a particular amino acid; and 'wobble' base-pairing, i.e. permitting non-standard base-pairing at the 3rd anti-codon position. The record is from Rfam by way of RNAcentral. Lineage: Eukaryota; Metazoa; Chordata; Mammalia; Chiroptera; Vespertilionidae.